Molecule: transfer RNA, 72 nt
Filed under: Capra hircus (goat)
Lineage: Eukaryota; Metazoa; Chordata; Mammalia; Artiodactyla; Bovidae
Also listed under: 1 other name
Rfam family: tRNA
About the family: Transfer RNA (tRNA) molecules are approximately 80 nucleotides in length. Their secondary structure includes four short double-helical elements and three loops (D, anti-codon, and T loops).
Source: Rfam by way of RNAcentral
UCCCUGUUGGCUCAGUUGGUAAAGAAUCUGCUUGUAAUGCAGACGAUCCAGGUCUAAUCCCUGGGUUGGGGA